GCCGCAGACCGCCUUAUCGUCGUCCUGAUUUAUUGGGAGGGAGGAAAGUCCGGACACCACAGAGAAGCAUAGCGGGUAACACCCGUCGGCGUUAGAAAUGGCGCAAGGACAAGUGCAACAGAAAGUAUGUACAGGUAAUGCUGUAGUGAAACCAGGUAAACUCUAUGCGGUGAAAUACCAAGUAUAUCAGCAUUUAAGGGCUUCUCGUUCGUUGCUGAAGGGUAGGUAGCUUGAGUCAUGCAGUAAUGCAUGAUCUAGAUAAAUGAUAAGGUAUUGUUAGUAAUAACAAGAACAGAAUCCGGCUUACAGGUCUGCAUUUUUU
RNAcentral lists this RNase P RNA (322 nucleotides) under Flavobacterium cheongpyeongense. RNAcentral describes it as "Bacterial RNase P class A". It matches the Rfam family "Bacterial RNase P class A". Rfam says of the family: Ribonuclease P (RNase P) is a ubiquitous endoribonuclease, found in archaea, bacteria and eukarya as well as chloroplasts and mitochondria. Its best characterised activity is the generation of mature 5'-ends of tRNAs by cleaving the 5'-leader elements of precursor-tRNAs. Lineage: Bacteria; Pseudomonadati; Bacteroidota; Flavobacteriia; Flavobacteriales; Flavobacteriaceae. The record is from Rfam by way of RNAcentral.